GACGAACGCUGGCGGCGUGCCUAAUACAUGCAAGUCGAACGCACUCUCGUUUAGAUUGAAGGAGUUUGCUCCUGAUUGAUAAACAUUUGAGUGAGUGGCGGACGGGUGAGUAACACGUGGGUAACCUGCCCUAAAGUGGGGGAUAACAUUUGGAAACAGAUGCUAAUACCGCAUAAAACCUAACACCGCAUGGUGUAGGGUUGAAAGAUGGUUUCGGCUAUCACUUUAGGAUGGACCCGCGUUGCAUUAGUUAGUUGGUGAGGUAAAGGCUCACCAAGACCGUGAUGCAUAGCCGACCUGAGAGGGUAAUCGGCCACACUGGGACUGAGACACGGCCCAGACUCCUACGGGAGGCAGCAGUAGGGAAUCUUCCACAAUGGACGAAAGUCUGAUGGAGCAACGCCGCGUGAGUGAAGAAGGUUUUCGGAUCGUAAAACUCUGUUGUUGGAGAAGAAUGUAUCUGAUAGUAACUGAUCAGGUAGUGACGGUAUCCAACCAGAAAGCCACGGCUAACUACGUG
RNAcentral lists this ribosomal RNA (520 nucleotides) under uncultured bacterium. RNAcentral's name for it is "partial 16S ribosomal RNA". It matches the Rfam family "Bacterial small subunit ribosomal RNA", at positions 28 to 507 of the family's 1533-position model. The record is from RNAcentral.